This 318-nucleotide ribosomal RNA is filed under the name Chelonus sp. JCB-2006. Its description in RNAcentral is "partial 16S ribosomal RNA". Lineage: Eukaryota; Metazoa; Arthropoda; Insecta; Hymenoptera; Braconidae. The record is from RNAcentral.
CUGCUCAAUGAAUAUUAAAUAGCUGCAGUAUAAAUAACUGUACUAAGGUAGCAUAAUAAAUUGUUUUUUAAUUAAAAACUUGAAUGAAAGAUUUAAUGAAAAAUUAACUUUAUUUAUUUUAAAUUUUAAAUUUUUAUUUAAAUAAAAAAAUUUAAUUAAAUUAAAUAAACAAAAAGACCCUAAAAACUUUAUAAAUUUUUAAAAAAUUUAUUUAAUUGGGGAAAUUAAAAAAAUUAAUUAAUUUUUUUAUUAACAAACAAUAAUUAUUGAAUAAAAUAAUUUUUUUAAAUAAUUAAUUAAUUACUUUAGGGAUAACAG